CACCCCCUGUAGUGCUCGAUAGCGGCCUGGGUAUUUUCUUGAGCCUAAUCGCUACCCAGGGGACAUGAACGCAAAGCUGUUGAGCAUGUCCGUCACCGAGCGGAAAGCCUGAAGCCGAGUCAAGUGUCCCCACUUGAACCUCAUGGUUCAAGAACAAAGGCCAGCAACGGCACAGAUGGGGGGUGU
Molecule: non-coding RNA, 186 nt
Filed under: Thiorhodococcus minor
Lineage: Bacteria; Pseudomonadati; Pseudomonadota; Gammaproteobacteria; Chromatiales; Chromatiaceae
Description: 6S / SsrS RNA
Rfam family: 6S / SsrS RNA
About the family: E. coli 6S RNA was the first non coding RNA to be sequenced, but its function was unknown until recently. It consists of 184 nucleotides that fold into an extended hairpin structure with a large single-stranded internal bulge.
Source: Rfam by way of RNAcentral